GGAAGGUCCGGGCGUUAUCCGGAUUUAUUGGGUUUAAAGGGAGCGUAGGCCGGAGAUUAAGCGUGUUGUGAAAUGUAGACGCUCAACGUCUGCACUGCAGCGCGAACUGGUUUCCUUGAGUACGCACAAAGUGGGCGGAAUUCGUGGUGUAGCGGUGAAAUGCUUAGAUAUCACGAAGAACUCCGAUUGCGAAGGCAGCUCACUGGAGCGCAACUGACGCUGAAGCUCGAAAGUGCGGGUAUCGAACAGGAUUAGAUACCCUGGUAGUCCGCACGGUAAACGAUGAAUACUAGGUGUCGGGUGGCAAAGCCAUUCGGUGCCGCAGCAAACGCAAUAAGUAUUCCACCUGGGGAGU
RNAcentral lists this ribosomal RNA (355 nucleotides) under uncultured bacterium. RNAcentral describes it as "bacterial SSU rRNA". It matches the Rfam family "Bacterial small subunit ribosomal RNA", at positions 527 to 881 of the family's 1533-position model. The record is from RNAcentral.